Oncorhynchus keta (chum salmon) is the source of this 3845-nucleotide long non-coding RNA. RefSeq lists it as uncharacterized. The transcript has 3 exons. NCBI's taxonomy places the organism in Eukaryota, Metazoa, Chordata, Actinopteri, Salmoniformes, Salmonidae. The record is from RefSeq and is a predicted model, not a curated record.
AAGACUGGGUACAGGGGUUGGUAGCUUGGUCCCAUAUCAGAUGUGAUGUGCGGUAGCCAACUCCUUUAUUGUUGACAUGCCAUAGAAGAGUUGGCUACAGCACAUACAGUAUAGAAACCAGGCAACAGGGAUGAUGGUUCAACAAGGGACUGUGGCGUCCCUUAGAAAGAAAAAGAACAUGUCAAAUAUGGCUGGGAAUUGCCAGGGACCUCACAAUACAAUCUAAUCAUGAUACUUAGGUGCGGAAACAAUAUUUAAAUAAAACAUCUCCCUCUUUCCUUCAAUUUCCCCUAUCUUUGGUUAUGUUACCCUGGCCAUUGCUUUUGCAGCCUUUUUUUUCAAUUGCAAGUUUUGGCACAUUCAUUCCAGCAACAUAGCUGCAACCAAUGAUUAUUGGCUAUUGAAAGGCUUUGAAGCCACUGGUUGAUCAUACUGGCUAUAGCCACGGGAAGUAGGGGAGCUGAGGGUCAACAAUAAAAAUAUAAUAUACAAAUAACUAAAAACAAUUGUGCAUUAGGCCUUUAUUACUCCCGUAGGAGCAGAGAGAAAUACUUGUCAGCAGAGCGGGGGAAAAAAUACCUCCCCAUCUAACAAUUGAAUGUGCCCUUUACAUCACAUGGGCAGUGGCGGAUUGGCCGUCCGGAGCCCCGGGACAUUUCCCGGUGGCCUGAGGGUCGUUUUGGCCUGCUGUGAAUAGUCAACUUGACCAGCGACAAUAUAGCAAGCAGGAAUGAUUUGACUGAGAAUCCACGCAUCAGGCGUGACUCUCACUCUCUCGCUGCAGUGUCCCCGCGCCAGAAAUUACACCAGGUCUCUCCGCGACGCACAUAGCAACCAUCUACAUGCUUCUCUACGGAUAGCAUUUUAGACAAGUCGCACAGCGAAAUGGACGGUCAGAAAAGGAAAGGUGGAGCAGAAAAAAGAGAAAGGCCCUUGCCACAGAUGCUGCAAAAUAAGCGACAUGUUUACCAGUAAGCGACCAGACCAGGUGAAGAAGGAAGCAGCAGCACUAGAGGUGCAACUGGAGAUGGUGGUCAGUUCAGAGUCAGACUCUGAGCAGGAACUUUCAGUAUGUCUUGCAUUUGCAAAAUAGUGCAAAAUAGUGAUAGUGCAUUUGUCAAAGGAGGCAUGCAGGCCUGGAAACAUGCCCAUCAGAGAGUACAGGAACAUGAGAGAAGUAAGACCCAUAAAGAAAGUACAGAAGCCUUUUCCUCAGAGCCGGCAAAGCAGACAUCCGUACCCUUCUGAGUGAUGAGCAAAUGUCAGUUCAACGAGACCAGGUCAGAAAGAGGUGGCAGGUCAUGGAAUGUGUGAUUGAUGUAGUUAAAAUUAUUGGUAAAUGUGGGCUUAGCUACAGAGGACACAGACACGAAGCUGCAUAUAACUUGGAAAACAUGGCCGUCAAUCAUGGCAAGUUCUUGAGCCUUUAUAUUUGCUAAGAAAAUAUGACGUCUGCCUACAAGCGCAUGUUAGUGAUUGCAUCGAGAAGAGCAAGAAUCAGAUGGGAAGUAAAGGAAGAGGGUCCUUGGUAACUAUGAUGUCCAAAACAACAGGCAAUAAAGUAAAUGAAGUCAUCAGAAUGUUGAUUCAGCAGACAAUUGCUGUUGGAGUGAGACAGGCAGGGAUGUUCUCAAUACAAAUGGACACAACACAGGAUUUAACAUCCAAAGACCAGUGUGCAGUAGUUCUGCGAUAUGUCCACGGGAGACUCAUUGCGGUCAUUGACUGGGAGUCAUCGACUGGACAGUACUUUGUGGACCUUUUGAAACAGACCCUUGAAGAUGGACAUAGAUAUCAAACAGUGUGUUGGUAAUGCAACAGAUGGAGCAGCUAAUAUGGAGGGACAAUACAGGGGCUUCUCUGCUUUGCUCACAGGAGAGUCUCCUAACCAAGUACUCAUAUGGUGUUACUCACAUGUCCUCAACCUUGUGCUAUUUGACACCACUGGGGUUGUUGUGGCAAGUGAAUCCCUUUUCUCACUACUGAAUGACAUUGCAGUGUUCGUUCGAGAUUCCUACAAGCGCAUGGAAGGAAACCAGUGACAACAGGAGACACAGAUGGCUUGAUGUAAUUGGUGAAACACGCUGGUGGGCCAAAGACGAGGCCUUGAGGAAAGUAUUUGGAAGCUUUGCAAAGCCUGACCGUGCACUUUACACGGAUGUGGUCAUCACUAUGGAAAGAAUUGAAAAGGAUGUGACCAUAAAACCGGCUAUCCGAAGCAAGGCCCAAGGGUACAAGGAUGCUCUCCUAAAGUAUGAAACCAUACUUUAAAAAAUAUAUAUAUUAUUUAACCUUUAUUUUACUAGGCAAGUCUGUUAAGAACAAAUUCUUAUUUACAAUGUCUGCCUAGGAACAGUGUGUUAACUGCCUUGUUCAGGGGGAGAACAACAUAUUUAUUUCCUUGUCAGGUCAGGGAUUCGUUAUGUCAACCUUUCAGUUCCUGGACCAACGCUCUAACCACUAGGCUACCUGCUGCCCCUACAGCCCCUACUUACAGCUGAGGUUUUUCCUCCUGAUUUUUGAGCAGGCAUGGAUAUCGUAACCGCACAGCACUUGGUGACGGGAACGGAGGAUAACCUGAGAAAGUGUGCCCGAGACUGAGGGUGUGAAGAAGGCAGCAGACGACUUUGUUGAUUGGGCCUAUGGCAUUCUGGAGGAGCAGCAGGAAGGACUGUGAUGCCGAAGCCCAGACUGCUCUCCCAGAGAAGAGAGAAAAAAGAAAAAAAAGAGAACCAGGUGAGUUGGCAGAAGACGAGCCCAUUGCUAAUGCAGACAUGGAUUCCAAAAUCAAGAUCCACAAUGUGGUACUGGACACUGUUGAAGAAAGUAUCCACUGCCGUUAUGCAGCAAAUACAGUGCUGUGUGCAGAUGUCUCCUGCAUGAAUCCUGAAGCAUUUUCCUGAGAUCAGAGAAAGACGGCCAUCAAGGAGCUCAGCAAAUUCUUAUUGGAAUUUGAUGAACAUGCCACUGUUGCGGCAUUGCAGGCUGAACUGAUCACCCUUGCACAACAGUGGGGAAGACUGAAACAGUCAGCAUUGGAGGAGUACAACACCAGGACUGCCGCCGCCAGUGAUUAAUCAGGGGAAGGCUUUGAGGACCCUGAUGAAAGUGUGGAGUUGGUGAGCAGAAUUUGUUCCACAUGUAAAAACUGCCCGAUACACUGCUAUCUUUUCCUGUCUCUACAAUCUGCUCACGGAUGCGUAUCACAUAAUCUGGUUUGGGCUACAAGUUCCUCCUCACUCUAUCCAUCACUCAGGUGGCUAGUGAGAGGACCUUCUCCACCCUGAAAUUUGUGAAGAACUGCCUAAGAACCUCCCUCACCCAAGAAAACCUUGAAGUGUUCCUUUUGAUGGCAACAGAGAAGGAGAUUCUUAUGGGACUUGACAAAGAUGUCCUCAUUGACAAGAUGGCAGAGAGCAGUGAGUUAUUGCGCCGCCUACUGGUUUACUAGUGAUAUUACUUCCUGGUUACUCUGAAGUAGCUAUGCUAUGACUCUUCCUUAACAGGCUGACAAGGGUGAAAGAAUUUGCUGUGAGUUAAAGCUUUUGUACAGAGGCAUGUUUUUUUGGACUUUUGUAUAAUACUUGCAGUUAUGUAGCCAAUGUUCAAUUUCAUUGACUCGGUGUAUAGAUGUUUAUUUUUGUGCUGUUUGCUUUAUGGACACCAGUGAGUGAACAUUGUAAUCUACAUUUUCUUGUAGAGAAAUGCUUUUUUGACUUUUGUAUUAUAAUGACUUACAUUGUUGUAGCUUAUGUUCAAGUUCAGUGAAUGUGUGUGUGUAAAGUUUUGUUAUGCUUGAAUAUAAAGAUAAUCACUUGAGCUAACUCUCAUCCUCUUUAAAAAAA